AUCGAUAUGUUUAUGGGAACUUUGGUUUAGACGACAACAAAGAUUAUAAUUCAUCUAAAAUGUAAACAUUUCCGGAAAUGUUGUCGAAUGUUGGACUAGUGAAAUAAAAAGUGUGAUAAGUGACACAGCGCAAAUUAAUGUAAUGGACUUUCAUUCAAACCUACAUAUUUACAUACAAUAUAAAGCGUGGUCUAAGAGGAAGGCAAUUCCCAAAUAAAACCUGAAGGCACGGACUAAUAAUAACCAAAAGACCAAGUCUUCCAAGUCAUCGGUCGCAAAAAUCCCCCUACAUGCUGGCAGUAAGGUUUAUGUAUCUAAGUAUGAUUUGGCUAAAAUAUUUAUACCCAACGCUUGUAUCUACACUUCGCGUUUAAGUGAAUUGGUAUUUGGAUUUGAUGUUUUGGAGAAUAUAGCGCGUUCAAAUGCAAAACAACGACUGCUGAUGCUCGAUGAGAGCUUACUCAAGUCGAUCAUAACUCACGUCGUACAGGUAUUUUCAAUGAGAGGGGAAUGCAUAGAUGAGAAUACAGUGCUAUCGUUCAUACAACACAAGAUCAGGAGCAUGUCGAAUGUGGCAUCAUCAGCCUCAAGUCGUUAAUAUUCCAAAACUAAUUGGACAUUUGAACACAGUCAACAGUCAUUUAAGUUAAAAAAUUUCCAUUUAUAACUACGUGUUGCAAUUUUCAAUAUUAAAUAAAAAAGUAAUAAAAUAUGUAAUACCACAAAUCA
Molecule: long non-coding RNA, 729 nt
Organism: Rhagoletis pomonella (apple maggot)
Lineage: Eukaryota; Metazoa; Arthropoda; Insecta; Diptera; Tephritidae
Exons: 4
Source: RefSeq, a predicted model, not a curated record